Long non-coding RNA from Uranotaenia lowii, 435 nucleotides. RefSeq lists it as uncharacterized. The record is from RefSeq and is a predicted model, not a curated record. The transcript is spliced from 2 exons. Lineage: Eukaryota; Metazoa; Arthropoda; Insecta; Diptera; Culicidae.
CUUCGUAAAUGCGCAUUUCAUUUGCUUUCCGAAUCGCGUCUUGAAAGGACGGUUUUGUCAGUUUUUGUGUCCGUGUAGUUCAAGCCAUUCCAUAAUGGCCGCCAAAUCGAAACGUGCAUUGCCCGGCAAAUAUUCUGGCACCCAAUCCGCUAUCACUUAGCGGUUUUGGAGCCGAGAAUAUUUCGCAGAGGCAAUAUCACGUUUCGAAAACAUUUGUUGUACUUUUUCAAACAUAUUUUUAAGAUAAAUGCAGUACGCGCUAUUUUAUGUCAUCGGACUUCGCAAAAAAAGAGAAUACUUGUUACAAAACAAAUGGUAUCUUUAUUUCGUAAUAAAUUGUAAAAUAACAUUCAAGGAUUACAUUGCUGAACAACAAAAAGUAUACCUGCUACUGGAACAAUAGGAAGCAAAAAUAAACCUAAGCUGUGCUGUUAA